ACGUAGGCACCAAGCGUUAUCCGGAUUUAUUGGGCGUAAAGAGCUCGUAGGCGGUUCGGUAAGUCGGGUGUGAAAACUCUGGGCUCAACCCAGAGACGCCACCCGAUACUGCUGUGACUAGAGUGCGGUAGGGGAGCGGGGAAUUCAUGGUGUAGCGGUGAAAUGCGCAGAUAUCAUGAGGAACACCAGCGGCGAAGGCGCCGCUCUGGGCCGUAACUGACGCUGAGGAGCGAAAGCAUGGGUAGCAAACAGGAUUAGAUACCCUGGUAGUCCAUGCCGUAAACGUUGGGCACUAGGUGUGGGUCUCAACCAACGAGAUCCGCGCCGUCGCUAACGCAUUAAGUGCCCCGCCUGGGGAGUACGGUCGCAAGACUA
RNAcentral lists this ribosomal RNA (375 nucleotides) under uncultured bacterium. RNAcentral's name for it is "bacterial SSU rRNA". It matches the Rfam family "Bacterial small subunit ribosomal RNA", at positions 525 to 896 of the family's 1533-position model. The record is from RNAcentral.